AAGGAAUAUUGGUCAAUGGACGCAAGUCUGAACCAGCCAUGCCGCGUGAAGGAUGAAGGUCCUCUGGAUUGUAAACUUCUUUUAUCUGGGACGAAAACGGGAUUUUUAUCUCAAUUGACGGUACCAGAGGAAUAAGCACCGGCUAACUCCGUGCCAGCAGCCGCGGUAAUACGGAGGGUGCAAGCGUUAUCCGGAUUCACUGGGUUUAAAGGGUGCGUAGGUGGGCUUAUAAGUCAGUGGUGAAAUCUCCGAGCUUAACUUGGAAACUGCCGUUGAUACUAUAGGUCUUGAAUUAUCUGGAGGUAAGCGGAAUAUGUCAUGUAGCGGUGAAAUGCGUAGAUAUGACAUAGAACACCAAUUGCGAAGGCAGCUUACUACAUAUAAAUUGACGCUGAGGCACGAAAGCGUGGGGAUCAAACA
Molecule: ribosomal RNA, 420 nt
Filed under: uncultured bacterium
Lineage: Bacteria
Description: bacterial SSU rRNA
Rfam family: Bacterial small subunit ribosomal RNA
Source: RNAcentral